GAUGAACGCUGACAGAAUGCUUAACACAUGCAAGUCAACUUGAACUUCGGUUUGGGUGGCGGACGGGUGAGUCACGCGUAAAGAACUUGCCUCACAGCUAGGGACAACAUUUGGAAACGAAUGCUAAUACCUGAUAUUAUGAUUUUAGGGCAUCCUAGAAUUAUGAAAGCUAUAUGCGCUGUGAGAGAGCUUUGCGUCCCAUUAGCUAGUUGGAGAGGUAACGGCUCACCAAGGCGAUGAUGGGUAGCCGGCCUGAGAGGGUGAACGGCCACAAGGGGACUGGGACACGGCCCUUACUCCUUCGGGAGGCAGCAGUGGGGAAUAUUGGACAAUGGACCAAGAGUGUGAUCCAGCAAUUCUGUGUGCACGAUGAAGUUUUUCGGAAUGUAAAGUGCUUUCAGUUGGGAAGAAAAAAAUGACGGUACCAACAGAAGAAGUGACGGCUAAAUACGUG
RNAcentral lists this ribosomal RNA (454 nucleotides) under uncultured bacterium. RNAcentral describes it as "partial 16S ribosomal RNA". It matches the Rfam family "Bacterial small subunit ribosomal RNA", at positions 28 to 507 of the family's 1533-position model. The record is from RNAcentral.